RNAcentral lists this long non-coding RNA (240 nucleotides) under Rhinopithecus bieti (black snub-nosed monkey). Its description in RNAcentral is "lncRNA (ENSRBIG00000045673.1)". Lineage: Eukaryota; Metazoa; Chordata; Mammalia; Primates; Cercopithecidae. The record is from RNAcentral.
AUGUUGGCUCCCGGGGUCUCCGGCUGGUGCACGAACCUUGUGAUUUCCACACCCAUGUCUCUUCCUCCAAGAGUUUCGGGAGUCCAGUCCAAAUAUUCCACCAGCAGUGUGUUGGCACCAGCACUGUCCACUCAGAAAGGCCUUGGACUUUCACCAGCUGUUUCUGCUGCCGUGGUGUGUUUCAGGAUGGGAAAUGAUGGAUAUAGAAGCCAGUGAGAGCUCAGAAUGCAAAUGCAGUAA